GGUAAUGUGUGGAGCGCUACUUGAUUCAAUUAUACAACACAAUGCUGCAGGAGGAAGACAGUAAUCUAAUCUGAUCUGUGAGCUGCGGCUGUGUGUUGUCUGAGCAGACUCCUCCAGAUCGACAGAGGAAGACGAGGUGAAGCCUUGGAGAUCAUUGUGUUCCCGUGUGAAGCUCGACAUUAGUCAAAGCCAUUAACUCAUCAUGGUUAACGACAUGGAGCUCAGGACGACUGACGGCGGCCGGGACCGGGCCCAGUUCUGGGAGGCGUUCCCCCCGGUGCAAAGAUUCAACUGGUCCGUCCUGCAGGAUGUGAAGCCCGUCGUCAGGCUGCCCAACAACAACUACGGCACACUGGCGACCAGCAGCGAUUAUCGAAGGAUCCACACGACGCUCCUGCAUGUGAUGGCCAGCAGCAGCUUCCUGGAGCAGAAGCUAGAGCGCUGCCUGAGGACCCAGAAGGCUUUCAUUGUCCUGGUGAUGGUCUUUGGGCUCCUGCUUCAACAAAAGAAACUAAGAAUCAAAGACCUCAGAAGGACUGAAGUGAAAACUAUUGGAAGUGGAUCAGAUGUCACUACAAUAUGCAGCAAUACUACACGGAUCACCAUCACACUUCUAGUGUGUCGGAUCAGAACAGAGAGGAGUGGAGACGAGUGUCGUCUGCUGUAUGAACAUGGAGGGGGCUUUGAGAGCGAGUGUGACUCCAGGUUCUCACUCAUGAUGGAGAAUCAGACUGUUUUUCUUCACCUGACCAGUUUAACACCAGUGGAUAGUGGGAACUACACCUGUGAAUGCACACACUCAGGGAACCACUACUCUCCGUCUGAAUAUCACUGUAGAAGAGGAUGA
This 847-nucleotide long non-coding RNA is filed under the name Cottoperca gobio. Its description in RNAcentral is "lncRNA (ENSCGOG00000021041.1)". The record is from RNAcentral. Lineage: Eukaryota; Metazoa; Chordata; Actinopteri; Perciformes; Bovichtidae.